CUCGGUUCUUCCCUGGACACCAAUGUCCUAUGGAGCACACAGAAAGCCACGGAAGUGUGGUCUGCGGGUUGAGGUGGGUAUUCAGAUGCCAGCCUGCAGCCCACUUACAUUGUUUCUUUUGGACUGACACCUUGCCGGAUGCUCAGAUGCCCACAGCGCAGGGGAAGGGACGGCCUAGAGUCCGAGGCGUGGGCAGGGAGCUGGCCCCCGUCCAUUGCUGCAGCUCCGCAGCAGCAGGACAGCCCUGGGAGGUGGAGACGGACUCCGUUCAUGUGGAUAAGCAGAGGAAAUUUGGCAGAAACGACCAAAUGCAAAAUACGUGUAGCAGCCUGAGACCGGCCGUCUACUGAAACAAAGGAUGCAGUUCAGUCGGAAACCACGCUUAGCUGAGUAGCUGUCUUUAGCCAUCCAGGCCCUGAGAACCAAUGAACAACCCAGCUUGGCCGCUUAGAACAUUUUUUCUAUACUUGAGUUAAAUAGAUAUCCAAGAACCAUUACUCGUUUUUAAUGUGGAGAAGUCGGUAUUCUAUUCUCGUGUUCUAUGUUUUUUAAAGUGGCAAUUUGAAUUAUUUCGUGCGAUAGAAAACCUUAAACACAAAGUAACGUUUCUAACAAAAGGGCUGUCGAUCAAGUGACAAACACGUCCUACUUUUAGAUACAAGCACGACUGAGGCAACGGCACGAAGACGCCUAAAGUGGGCUGCUGGGGAGACAAGAUCUGGCCGCGAAUGGAACUCGCGGCAGCUCAUUAACGGGACCGUCCAGCAGGAAGGUGGGUUGGCAGCCUUCUCCCAGGGCUCCCCACGAUCCCUACCCCUGGUGUGGCGUGGCCUUCCUCCUCACAUGUCGUCUGGACCAAGCAGUGUGUUGUUCUCAUCCAUAAAGAGUGAUGGGCCGGGCACGAUGGCCACACCUGUGAUCCCAGCACUGUGGGAGGCUGAGGCGGGAGGAUCUCC
Molecule: long non-coding RNA, 956 nt
Filed under: Homo sapiens (human)
Lineage: Eukaryota; Metazoa; Chordata; Mammalia; Primates; Hominidae
Description: non-protein coding lnc-CFAP74-1:7
Source: RNAcentral